AUCUCUGGCUGUGAAGACCCGGGACCCCUACCCAAAUGUGGGACACUGCCUCCGUUAGGGUUAUGUCAGAACGAACUGCCCGGCCUGGGCCCCGUUCACAUCUCACAUCUGAGAUUGUAACAUCGACUGUGCCUAGGAUAUUGCCUGGAGACACCUGACAACAGAAAGCCUAUGGUUUUCAUCUAGGAUUGGGAGUUACCCCAACACCAGCAGGAUG
Molecule: non-coding RNA, 217 nt
Organism: Callithrix jacchus (white-tufted-ear marmoset)
Lineage: Eukaryota; Metazoa; Chordata; Mammalia; Primates; Cebidae
Source: RefSeq, a predicted model, not a curated record